This 378-nucleotide ribosomal RNA is filed under the name uncultured Pseudoflavonifractor sp. RNAcentral's name for it is "bacterial SSU rRNA". It matches the Rfam family "Bacterial small subunit ribosomal RNA", at positions 354 to 748 of the family's 1533-position model. Lineage: Bacteria; Bacillati; Bacillota; Clostridia; Eubacteriales; Oscillospiraceae. The record is from RNAcentral.
UGGGGGAGUAUUGGGCAAUGGGCGCAAGCCUGACCCAGCAACGCCGCGUGAAGGAAGAAGGCUUUCGGUUGUAAACUUCUUUUGUCAGGGAAGAGCAGAAGACUGUACCUGACGAAUAAGCUCCGGCUAACUACGUGCCAGCAGCCGCGGUAAUACGUAGGGAGCGAGCGUUGUCCGGAUUUACUGGGUGUAAAGGGCGUGUAGGCGGGAUUGCAAGUCAGAUGUGAAAUUCCGGGGCUCAACCCCGGAACUGCAUUUGAAACUGUAGUUCUUGAGUACUGGAGAGGCAGGCGGAAUUCCUAGUGUAGCGGUGAAAUGCGUAGAUAUUAGGAGGAACACCAGUGGCGAAGGCGGCUUGCUGGACAGCAACUGACGCUG